GGACUACUAGGGUAUCUAAUCCCGUUCGCUACCCUAGCUUUCGUGCCUCAGCGUCAGAAAAGACCCAGUACGCCGCUUUCGCCACCGGUGUUCCUUAGGAUAUCAACGCAUUUCACCGCUCCACCCUAAGUUCCGCGUACCUCUAUCUUUCUCUAGCAAAGUAGUUUCGGGCGCAAUUCCUCAGUUGAGCUGAGGGAUUUCACACCCGACUUUCUCCACCGCCUACGCACCCUUUAAGCCCAGUAAUUCCGAAUAACGUUAGCAAGGUUCGUCUUACCGCGGCUGCUGGCAC
Molecule: ribosomal RNA, 292 nt
Filed under: uncultured Planctomycetota bacterium
Lineage: Bacteria; Pseudomonadati; Planctomycetota
Description: uncultured planctomycete partial 16S ribosomal RNA
Source: RNAcentral